UGCUGACAUAAGUAACGAUAAAGCGGGUGAAAAGCCCGCUCGCCGGAAGACCAAGGGUUCCUGUCCAACGUUAAUCGGGGCAGGGUGAGUCGACCCCUAAGGCGAGGCCGAAAGGCGUAGUCGAUGGGAAACAGGUUAAUAUUCCUGUACUUGGUGUUACUGCGAAGGGGGGACGGAGAAGGCUAUGUUGGCCGGGCGACGGUUGUCCCGGUUUAAGCGUGUAGGCUGGUUUUCCAGGCAAAUCCGGAAAAUCAAGGCUGAGGCGUGAUGACGAGGCACUACGGUGCUGAAGCAACAAAUGCCCUGCUUCCAGGAAAAGCCUCUAAGCAUCAGGUAACAUCAAAUCGUACCCCAAACCGACACAGGUGGUCAGGUAGAGAAUACCAAGGCGCUUGAGAGAACUCGGGUGAAGGAACUAGGCAAAAUGGUGCCGUAACU
Molecule: ribosomal RNA, 438 nt
Filed under: Escherichia coli
Lineage: Bacteria; Pseudomonadati; Pseudomonadota; Gammaproteobacteria; Enterobacterales; Enterobacteriaceae
Description: partial 23S ribosomal RNA
Rfam family: Bacterial large subunit ribosomal RNA
Source: RNAcentral